CCGGCGACCGGCGCACGGUGAGUAACACGUAUGCAACCUGGCCGUGACAGAUGGAUAACCGGGAGAAAUCCCGCCUAAUACAACAUAAUGCCGGGAGGGGACAUCCCCUGCCGGCCAAAGGGGGCGACCCCGGUCACGGAUGGGCAUGCGGCGCAUUAGGUAGUUGGUGGGGCAACGGCCCACCAAGCCGACGAUGCGUAGGGGUUCUGAGAGGAAGGUCCCCCACAUUGGAACUGAGACACGGUCCAAACUCCUACGGAAGGCAGCAG
This 269-nucleotide ribosomal RNA is filed under the name uncultured bacterium. RNAcentral's name for it is "partial 16S ribosomal RNA". It matches the Rfam family "Bacterial small subunit ribosomal RNA", at positions 88 to 354 of the family's 1533-position model. The record is from RNAcentral.